RNAcentral lists this ribosomal RNA (253 nucleotides) under uncultured bacterium. RNAcentral describes it as "partial 16S ribosomal RNA". It matches the Rfam family "Bacterial small subunit ribosomal RNA", at positions 524 to 776 of the family's 1533-position model. The record is from RNAcentral.
GACGAAGGAUGCAAGCGUUAUCCGGAUUCAUUGGGUUUAAAGGGAGCGUAGGUGGCCUUAUAAGUCAGUGGUGAAAUCCUGUUGCUUAACAACAGAAUUGCCAUUGAUACUGUAGGGCUUGAGUACAGAUGCCGUUGGCGGAAUAUGACAUGUAGUGGUGAAAUACAUAGAGAUGUCAUAGAGCACCGAUUGCGAAGGCAGCUGACGAAACUGUAACUGACACUGAGGCUCGAAAGUGCGGGGAUCAAACAGG